This 424-nucleotide ribosomal RNA is filed under the name uncultured bacterium. RNAcentral describes it as "bacterial SSU rRNA". It matches the Rfam family "Bacterial small subunit ribosomal RNA", at positions 356 to 773 of the family's 1533-position model. The record is from RNAcentral.
AGGGAAUCUUCCGCAAUGGACGAAAGUCUGACGGAGCAACGCCGCGUGAGUGAUGAAGGCCUUCGGGUCGUAAAACUCUGUUGUCAGGGAAGAACAAGUAUCGGAGUAACUGCCGGUACCUUGACGGUACCUGACCAGAAAGCCACGGCUAACUACGUGCCAGCAGCCGCGGUAAUACGUAGGUGGCAAGCGUUGUCCGGAAUUAUUGGGCGUAAAGCGCGCGCAGGCGGUCCUUAAGGCUGAUGUGAAAGCCCACGGCUCAACCGUGGAGGGUCAUUGGAAACUGGGGGACUUGAGUGCAGAAGAGGAAAGCGGAAUUCCACGUGUAGCGGUGAAAUGCGUAGAGAUGUGGAGGAACACCAGUGGCGAGGGCGGCUUUCUGGUCUGUAACUGACGCUGAGGCGCGAAAGCGUGGGGAGCAAAC